GCUGGAAAGAUAUCCCAGUGAAAUCACUUGCUAGACUGCUGACAUGCUGAUGUAAAGUGGAGUCUGAGC
This is a small nucleolar RNA of Echinops telfairi (small Madagascar hedgehog), 69 nucleotides long. RefSeq annotates it as small nucleolar RNA SNORD104. The transcript has a single exon. The record is from RefSeq and is a predicted model, not a curated record. Lineage: Eukaryota; Metazoa; Chordata; Mammalia; Afrosoricida; Tenrecidae.